ACCUACGGGGGGCAGCAGUGAGGAAUAUUGGUCAAUGGGCGGAAGCCUGAACCAGCCAAGUCGCGUGAGGGAAGAAGGCUCUGCGGGUCACAGACCUCUUUGGACGGGGAGCAAGGCCGCCGACGUGUCGGCGGAAGGAGAGUACCCGUAGAACAAGCAUCGGCUAACUCCGUGCCAGCAGCCGCGGUAAUACGGAGGAUGCGAGCGUUAUCCGGAUUUAUUGGGUUUAAAGGGUGCGCAGGCGGCACGGCAAGCCGGCGGUCAAAGCGCGGGGCUCAACCCCGCCCCGCCGUCGGAACUGCCAG
Molecule: ribosomal RNA, 305 nt
Filed under: uncultured bacterium
Lineage: Bacteria
Description: bacterial SSU rRNA
Rfam family: Bacterial small subunit ribosomal RNA
Source: RNAcentral